Long non-coding RNA from Pistacia vera, 234 nucleotides. RefSeq lists it as uncharacterized. The record is from RefSeq and is a predicted model, not a curated record. Lineage: Eukaryota; Viridiplantae; Streptophyta; Magnoliopsida; Sapindales; Anacardiaceae. The transcript has 3 exons.
AAGAAAAAGAAGCACUUUUUACAUAUAAGUCAGCAUUUUUUCUCAUAAUGGUCUGCUUUUUUUCAUGUUUUAGCGCUAAUAAGCAUCGAAAGCACAAGCGUUUGGCCAAUACAAAUCACUAUAGAGGCCUUAGACAUGAUGAGGUUAGCGCAGUUCUUCAAGUGACUGAAUGGAUUAAGCAAGCAGAAACUAAGAAACCCAUUUCAGAAUCAAAGGAGAAGCUUGAGGAGCCAA